CCUACGGGUGGCAGCAGUGAGGAAUAUUGGUCAAUGGGCGAGAGCCUGAACCAGCCAAGUCGCGUGAGGGAGUACUGCCCUAUGGGUUGUAAACCUCUUUUGUCGGGGAGCAAAAGCCGGACGUUUCCGGCUGUGAGAGUACCCGAAGAAAAAGCAUCGGCUAACUACGUUCCAGCAGCCGCGGUAAUACGGAGGAUGCGAGCGUUAUCCGGAUUUAUUGGGGUUAAAGGGGGCGCAGGCGGAUUUUUAAGUCAGCGGUCAAAUGGUGGGGCUCAAACCCAUCCAGCCGUUGAAACUGGGGAUCUAGAGUGUGCGAGAGGUAUGCGGAAUGCGUGGUGUAGCGGUGAAAUGCAUAGAUAUCACGCAGAACCCCGAUUGCGAAGGCAGCAUACCGGUGCACAACUGACGCUCAGGCACGAAAGCGUGGGUAUCGAACAGGAUUAGAUACCCGAGUAGUC
Molecule: ribosomal RNA, 458 nt
Filed under: uncultured bacterium
Lineage: Bacteria
Description: partial 16S ribosomal RNA
Rfam family: Bacterial small subunit ribosomal RNA
Source: RNAcentral